This 329-nucleotide ribosomal RNA is filed under the name uncultured eukaryote. Its description in RNAcentral is "partial 18S ribosomal RNA". It matches the Rfam family "Eukaryotic small subunit ribosomal RNA", at positions 1470 to 1796 of the family's 1831-position model. The record is from RNAcentral.
CCCUUAGAUGUCCUGGGCCGCACGCGCGCUACACUGAGUGUCUGAGAUACGAGUCUGCCUGGUCCGGCAAGGUCUAGGUAAUCGCUAAAGGACACAUCAUGCUUGGGAUAGAUUAUUGCAAAUAUUAAUCUUGAACGAGGAAUUCCUAGUAAGCGCAAGUCAACAGCUUGCGUUGAUUACGUCCCUGCCCUUUGUACACACCGCCCGUCGCUACUACUGAUUGGAUGUUUAAGCGAGGUUCUCGAACUGCUAGCGACUUAGCUUCGGUGAGGUCGCAGUGUGGGAAGUGAACCGAGCUUUGGUGUCUAGAGGAAGUAAAAGUCGUAACA